AUUGAACGCUGGCGGCAGGCUUAACACAUGCAAGUCGAGCGGAGAGAGGUAGCUUGCUACUGAUCUUAGCGGCGGACGGGUGAGUAAUGCUUAUGAAUCAGCCUAUUAGUGGGGGACAACAUUUCGAAAGGAAUGCUAAUACAGCAUACGUCCUACGGGAGAAAGCAGGGGAUCUUCGGACCUUGCGCUAUUAGAUGAGCCUAAGUCGGAUUAGCUAGUUGGUGGGGUAAAGGCCUACCAAGGCGACGAUCUGUAGCGGAUCUGAGAGGAUUAUCCGCCACACUGGGACUGAGACACGGCCCAGACUCCUACGGGAGGCAGCAGUGGGGAAUAUUGGACAAUGGGCGCAAGCCUGAUCCAGCCAUGCCGCGUGUGUGAAGAAGGCCUUAUGGUUGUAAAGCACUUUAAGCGAGGAGGAGGCUACUUUAGUUAAUACCUAGAGAUAGUGGACGUUACUCGCAGAAUAAGCACCGGCUAACUCUGUGCCAGCCGCCGCAGUAA
This 501-nucleotide ribosomal RNA is filed under the name uncultured bacterium. RNAcentral's name for it is "partial 16S ribosomal RNA". It matches the Rfam family "Bacterial small subunit ribosomal RNA", at positions 30 to 523 of the family's 1533-position model. The record is from RNAcentral.